This 253-nucleotide ribosomal RNA is filed under the name uncultured bacterium. Its description in RNAcentral is "partial 16S ribosomal RNA". It matches the Rfam family "Bacterial small subunit ribosomal RNA", at positions 524 to 776 of the family's 1533-position model. The record is from RNAcentral.
AACGUAGGAGGGAAGCGUUAUCCGGAGUGACUGGGCGUAAAGAGCGUGUAGGCGGUUGAGGAAGUUGCGUGUGAAAGCGCCCGGCUAAACUGGGCGAGGACAGGCAAGACUGCUGAGCUAGAGGCCGAUAGAGGGGUGCGGAGUUCCGGGUGUAGCGGUGAAAUGUGUAGAGAUCCGGAGGAACACCAGUGGUGCAGACGGCGUCCUGGGUCGGACCUGACGCUGAGACGCGAAAGCGUUGGGAGCGAACGGG